CAAUCCUUCGGGUGCGUUAAUGGGCGUCGAGCGGCGGACGGGUGAGUAAUGCCUAGGAAAUUGCCUUGAUGUGGGGGAUAACCAUUGGAAACGAUGGCUAAUACCGCAUAAUGCCUACGGGCCAAAGAGGGGGAUCUUCGGACCUCUCGCGUCAAGAUAUGCCUAGGUGGGAUUAGCUAGUUGGUGAGGUAAUGGCUCACCAAGGCGACGAUCCCUAGCUGGUCUGAGAGGAUGAUCAGCCACACUGGAACUGAGACACGGUCCAGACUCCUACGGGAGGCAGCAGUGGGGAAUAUUGCACAAUGGGCGAAAGCCUGAUGCAGCCAUGCCGCGUGUAUGAAGAAGGCCUUCGGGUUGUAAAGUACUUUCAGUUGUGAGGAAGGGUGUGUAGUUAAUAGCUGCGCAUCUUGACGUUAGCAACAGAAGAAGCACCGGCUAACUCCGUGCCAGCAGCCGCGGUAAUACGGAGGGUGCGAGCGUUAAUCGGAAUUACUGGGCGUAAAGCGCAUGCAGGUGGUUCAUUAAGUCAGAUGUGAAAGCCCGGGGCUCAACCUCGGAACUGCAUUUGAAACUGGUGAACUAGAGUGCUGUAGAGGGGGG
This 600-nucleotide ribosomal RNA is filed under the name Vibrio sp. EST72AM. Its description in RNAcentral is "bacterial SSU rRNA". It matches the Rfam family "Bacterial small subunit ribosomal RNA", at positions 58 to 661 of the family's 1533-position model. Lineage: Bacteria; Pseudomonadati; Pseudomonadota; Gammaproteobacteria; Vibrionales; Vibrionaceae. The record is from RNAcentral.